GGGCGCAGCCGCCGGAAGGGCCCGGGGAGCGGGGCUCGGCGGCUAGCUCCGCUGACCCUGUGGUCGUUUUCCUGGAGAUUGCGACCUAGGAAGUCGUCGAGGAGCCUGUGCUGCCCACCUCGGGGCCCUUCGAUCGGCCGCUCCUGUGCAGACUUUCAGUUAGAGAUGAAGCCAACCUAUUGGCGGUUGCCAUAACAACGGUGGCCGAACCAGACCAGCCCGGGCCGCACCUCCGCCUCGCUGAGCUUUGGAAGCGACCUUGGGCUCCGGGGACCCCUGAUCUCAGGGUCGGGGGAUAAGCUGUGUCAGCCGCACGGUGUCGGGCCACUGAUUGAACUGAUUUCACUGAGCGUUGACUCGGAGGAAAAUAUCUAAAAAUUCCCGGCUCGCCGUAGGGGUCCUGUGGUUUUCUAGGCGCUUCACACUCAAAUACAAGCGAAAUGGUUGCAAUAAUACGAUUGAUUGAGCCCUUAUGAGGCAAUUUGUUA
Long non-coding RNA from Homo sapiens (human), 488 nucleotides. The record is from Ensembl. NCBI's taxonomy places the organism in Eukaryota, Metazoa, Chordata, Mammalia, Primates, Hominidae.